GCUUACUGGGUCCUGAAUCGGCUGCGUGCUGUUCUAGGUGGGGACUUGAGAGACUGUAGAUGGGUCUAGGGAGUGGUCGAAUAUAAAUAAGCUAGAUUUUUUUUUUUUUAAUUGCAAGGGAACUCCCUAGGAAUUCCAUCCAUGGCCUUGUGGAACGAUCUGCCAAAGAAAAAAUAUUUAUCUCUGCAUCUUUCACCCUGAAGUCACGGGAACAACGCUGAGGGGCAGCCAGAGAUUAUGUGGGCUUUUCCAUGGGAAGAACCACUCUACGUUAUCACCUUCUACAUAGUAGCAGUUGAAGCCAAAUGGACAGAAAGCCCGAGACAACAUGAAGUUGUUCUACAAGUUAUUUUGGAGAAAUUGACUUACCAUACCACUCAUCAACCCAUGCAAAAGCCUGUCUAUGUCCAAUCAGCAGAAUGUCUCGGACCACCUAAAAAGUAAAAGAAGGAGACUGAAAUAAUAGCAUCUUUGAUGAAAACUAUCUGGAAGACAAGUUGUUAACAAUUCUGGGGAUCUUGGUGAUUACAGAGUUCUUAAUCCCUCUGUCCAUAGGUGAUGACAAUUACAGGCUGCCUAUAGGUCCUAUAGUGCUCACACACCUCCAGCCCUUCCCCAUGGUGUACACACACUUGCAGUAUAUUCAUCUCUUUGUCUUAUUUGAGAGUAGGGCUGGGUGUGUGUACAAACUAAUGACAAAUACUUGACAGUCACACAGCAGUGAUACAAAUAAAUAUCUAGGUUAAUUACCUUGAA
Homo sapiens (human) is the source of this 756-nucleotide long non-coding RNA. RefSeq lists it as uncharacterized. The record is from RefSeq and is marked validated. The transcript is spliced from 3 exons. NCBI's taxonomy places the organism in Eukaryota, Metazoa, Chordata, Mammalia, Primates, Hominidae.